This 1371-nucleotide small RNA is filed under the name Daphnia magna. Its description in RNAcentral is "uncharacterized LOC116933709". Lineage: Eukaryota; Metazoa; Arthropoda; Branchiopoda; Diplostraca; Daphniidae. The record is from RNAcentral.
GGGCAUCUCUUCCCUCAAUCAGACGCCAUUGUUCCCGCUCCAUUCACGUGGCACAGUCAGACGCGUGGAUCAAACCCAACGUAAUAGUUCCACCAUUCUUGGCUCUUAAUUCCACCAUUCAAUUAGAAACCAACUUCUGCUGAAAAAAUGGGUAUCAAAUUGAGAUGGCUUUUGUUAUUGUCUUGUCUUUACAUCUCGGUGGAAGCUCACGCCUAUGGCUACAGACCUCAACAGCAGCCGGUCCGGCCGCCUGUUCACGUUGUUAGGCGGCCUUCGACUUAUUCCUACGUUCGGCCGGCAGCAAGUGGCAUCUCGCCCCGGCAGCCGGCCGUCAGAUACGUAUCACCAUCAAUACUACCGGCCGUCAAAAUGUACAGCCAGCGGCCGUUCCAAAAUACGCGGCCACCACCGUACCGCCUGUUGCCAUCAGCACGGCCUCGUACAAGUCAGGUGACUACGUGGCUGGAACGCUUGUUUCCAGCACGACAUCAGCCCCUACACGGCCCGAAGUUGUUUACUAUACAACAGAGCCCGUCUACUACACCAGCACUAGCGCCAAUAGCUACUACGCUCAAUUACCAGCCGAUUCUGGAACAACAGAGUCUCCUUACUACACCGGUUCACGAGUACACUUACGUCGACGCAGGAACAUAUUUUUUGGAGAGGAUGUCGCUCAACAGUUCACCGAAUCGCCUGUCGAUGUUUACGCAUCAGCAGACUACGUUGCAGCCGUUCCAGGAGACUACGUCCCAGCUGGAGCAGGAGCCUAUGCUCCGGCUGUUCCAGCCGACUACGCCACUGCCGUCGAAGCCCAUUACAUGGACGCUGGAUACGAUGCGGGAACAGCCUACUACCCCUACACCGACCCGACGGAGUACUACGCUGCGGCUGCUGGCACUGAACACUAUGCCCAGGACUCUGGCUACUACACCGAAAGCGUUCCAGUCUACGACGGCCAGCAGCAGUAUGUUGCUGGAAGCUAUGUCUACGUCACGGACGUCCCUGUCUAUAGCAACGAGUACGCGACGGCCGCUGCUGUCAAUUACUACGCCAACUUGGCAGCAGGAACAGCCACGUUCAGUCCGUUCAGUGCGGCUAACGUUCAGUACGUUGCUUAAACGAUUUGUGCGUCUAGCUCUAUUGGUGAUAUCUGUUUUCGAGAAACCCAUUUCUUUCGCUGUUAAAGCAUCCCAAAUUGGUUGGCUUUUUCCAGCUCGGCACAAGAGUUUUAACUUACCAAAUGAUAAAACAUGAUGUUAUUAAAUGUUUGUUUGAAUGUUGGUGUGAAUUUUAUAUUCGUUGUAAUCAAUUUUGUUAGUGCCGUGUUGUGAUUUUGAUCGAAUUCCAAAUAAAAUUGAAUUUAUGAAAUCA